Molecule: ribosomal RNA, 468 nt
Filed under: uncultured bacterium
Lineage: Bacteria
Description: partial 16S ribosomal RNA
Rfam family: Bacterial small subunit ribosomal RNA
Source: RNAcentral
GACGAACGCUGGCGGCGUGCUUAACACAUGCAAGUCGAACGGAAAGGCCCUGCUUUUGUGGGGUGCUCGAGUGGCGAACGGGUGAGUAACACGUGAGUAACCUGCCCUUGACUUUGGGAUAACUUCAGGAAACUGGGGCUAAUACCGGAUAGGAGCUCCUGCUGCAUGGUGGGGGUUGGAAAGUUUCGGCGGUUGGGGAUGGACUCGCGGCUUAUCAGCUUGUUGGUGGGGUAGUGGCUUACCAAGGCUUUGACGGGUAGCCGGCCUGAGAGGGUGACCGGGCACAAUAGGACUGAGAUACGCACCAGACGCCUACGGGAGGCAGCGGGGGGGAGUAUGGCACAAUGAGCGGAAGCCUGAUGAGGCGGCGCCGCGUGCGGGAAGACGGCCUUCGGGUUGUAAACCGCUUUCGCCUGUGACGAAGCGUGAGUGACGGUAAUGGGUGAAGAAGCACCGGCUAACUACGUG